AGAUGGCGUCCUUUGCCACUGUGCACUUUACACUCAUAAAUCAUAAAAUCUAACCUUAUGGACUCAAGUAUAACGUCUCUUAUUGAUACAGAAAUAAACACUGGUGUGUGCUGGUCGUUUAGUCCUUGCAAACGUUCCUAUCUUCCUGGGGAUAGGUUCUUCGAGGAUGGGGACAUAUUUUGUGGUGUGCUGUCAAAACAGAUUUUUCUUCCCACAGAAGAUCUUCAAUGGGAUGAUCCAAGUGAAAGUGAACAGAUUGUGUGUGAAUUAGCUGGAUGUCAUAAGGCUUUUGGAAGUGUUGCCAGUUAUGAAGCACACUACAACAGUUACCAUAGAAAUACCUGUGCUGAAUGUCGUCGAACGUUUCCAUCUAACUUUCUCUUGGACCUCCAUAUAUUGGAAAAUCAUGAUGUUCUGUUUAAGCUAAUGUUGAAUGCAAAAUACACAUAUCGAUGUCUUGUCGAGAGUUGCCCAGAUAAGUUUUCAAACGAUGGCGAACGAAAGGAACAUUUGGUCACCGUCCACAAAUAUCCGGCGAAUUUUCGUUUCAACAGACCUACACGCAAGCAAAGAAAACUCCACACCGAAUCUGCGGAGUCCAUGGACACUUCGAAACCAACCAUUGAUAUGAGCUCAAAUUCAACCUGUGAUCUGGUUUCUGAUACAGAAAUGCAAAGCUCAUCUCCAGAGAAGAUGGAAAUUAUUCUAAACGAAAAAAGAAGGAUACCAAAGAACGUUUGUUUUGGUCGUGGCUCAACGGCUGCUUUUCAUAGAAGAGGAAAAUCAAAAGGACGGCGUAAAUAGAUACAAUACAGUACAACAACACAGUACAAUUAGCGGAAAUGGAACAAGACGUACUGUUUUUACAGUUGGCUUUAAUAAACAUCCGCUUUUUGGCACUUAUGAACUACGAGGCGUCGUGGUAAACACUUAUUGUUUAUACGAAGUUGAAUAAGACCUCAUAAAACCAACAAGUAUAACGUAUUUAAAAGAUUUUUGGUGGUGCACACAAAGUAGUCGGCGCAAUAAUUGGACUACAAGACGAGUAUCAUUAGUUUUCUGCUGAUGACUGAGAGACGUCUCAUAUGAUGGCAGGUGUGUUAGAACGUGUUGGUAAAAAAUCAAGAUCGCCAUUAUAUCUGUGACUGCUACAGAACAAGAAAUGGUAUUUAUGAACUCGAAAAAACUUGUUGAAAAUAUUCUCGCUACCAACAGCUAAAGUAAAUUGUUGUUCCUGUGGUUUUUGAUGAUAACAAAUCGUCAAGGAGAGCUCGCCAAAAUUGUUAAAAAUUAGUAACGAAACCAUUCGCGCUUUCAUUCUAUAAAGGAGCUGCAACAGUUGCUACAAUUAUAAACUGAAGAUUUCGUGGUUAUAUUCAUUUCAAACGUUAUUAGAUGAUUACACUAAAGUUAAAACUUUUAUAAUAAUAAGUUUUGAAAAUGA
Xenia sp. Carnegie-2017 is the source of this 1444-nucleotide RNA transcript. It is a transcript of the gene named zinc finger protein 511-like, with no coding region annotated. The record is from RefSeq and is a predicted model, not a curated record. Lineage: Eukaryota; Metazoa; Cnidaria; Anthozoa; Malacalcyonacea; Xeniidae. The transcript is spliced from 11 exons.